This 440-nucleotide ribosomal RNA is filed under the name uncultured bacterium. RNAcentral describes it as "partial 16S ribosomal RNA". It matches the Rfam family "Bacterial small subunit ribosomal RNA", at positions 338 to 795 of the family's 1533-position model. The record is from RNAcentral.
CCUACGGGAGGCAGCAGUGGGGAAUAUUGCACAAUGGGGGAAACCCUGAUGCAGCGACGCCGCGUGAGUGAAGAAGGAUUUCGGUAUGUAAAACUCUAUCAGCAGGGAAGAAAAUGACGGUACUUGAUGAAGAAGCCACGGCUAACGACGUGCCAGCAGCCGCGGGAAUACGUAGGGGGCAAGCGUUAUCCGGAUUGACUGGGUGUACAGGGAGCGUAGAAGGCCGCGCAAGUCUGAAGUGACAUGGCGGGGCUUACCCCCGGAACUGCUUUGGAAACUGUGCAGCUAGAGUGCAGUAGCGGUAAGUGGACUUCCUAGUGUAGCGGUGAAAUGCGUAGAUAUUAGGAGGAACACCAGUGGCGAAGGCGGCUUACUGGACUGUACCUGCCGUUGAGGCUCGAAAGUGUGGGUAUCAAACAGGAUUAGAUACCCGGGUAGUC